Molecule: ribosomal RNA, 526 nt
Filed under: uncultured bacterium
Lineage: Bacteria
Description: bacterial SSU rRNA
Rfam family: Bacterial small subunit ribosomal RNA
Source: RNAcentral
AGAGUUUGAUCAUGGCUCAGGACGAACGCUGGCGGCGUGCCUAACACAUGCAAGUCUAGGGGAAAUUCCGGCUUCGGUUGGAAGAGUACACUGGCGCACGGGUGAGUAAUAUGUAAGUAACCUACCCAUAGGUUCGGGAUAACUCGUCGAAAGAUGGGCUAAUACCGAAUGAUGCAGCCGACCCGCAUGGGUAUGUUGUUAAAGCCUAUAUGGUGCCUAUGGAUGGGCUUGCAUCCGAUUAGCUAGUUGGUAGGGUAAUGGCCUACCAAGGCUACGAUCGGUAGCUGGUCUGAGAGGAUGAUCAGCCACACUGGAACUGAGACACGGUCCAGACUCCUACGGGAGGCAGCAGUGAGGAAUAUUGGGCAAUGCCCGAAAGGGUGACCCAGCAACGCCGCGUGGAGGAUGACGGCCGUAAGGUUGUAAACUCCUUUUGAGAGGGACGAAAAAUUCCGAUGGAAUCGGAACUUGACUGUACCUCUAGAAAAAGCCCCGGCUAACUACGUGCCAGCAGCCGCGGUAAUUC